Molecule: ribosomal RNA, 373 nt
Filed under: Tromodesia setiventris
Lineage: Eukaryota; Metazoa; Arthropoda; Insecta; Diptera; Rhinophoridae
Description: partial 16S ribosomal RNA
Source: RNAcentral
UCGAAGGUAGCAUAAUCAGUAGUCUUUUAAUUGAAGGCUGGUAUGAAUGGUUGGACGAAAUAUUAACUGUUUCAUAAAAAUUUAUAAUUGAAUUUUAUUUUUUAGUAAAAAAGCUAAAAUUUAAUUAAAAGACGAGAAGACCCUAUAAAUCUUUAUAUUUAUAUUAUUAUAAUUUUAUAGAUUUUUUUUAUUAUAAUAAUUUAUAAUAUUUUAUUGGGGUGAUAUUAAAAUUUAAUAAACUUUUAAUAUUUAAAAUCAUUAAUUUAUGAAUAAUUGAUCCAUUAUUAGUGAUUAGAAGAUUAAGUUACUUUAGGGAUAACAGCGUAAUUUUUUUGAAGAGUUCAUAUCGAUAAAAAAGAUUGCGACCUCGAUG